AUUGAACGCUGGCGGCAUGCCUAACACAUGCAAGUCGAACGCGAAAGAGGGGCAACCCUUGAGUAGAGUGGCGGACGGGUGAGUAAUACGUAGGAAUCUUCCUUAGAGUGGGGGAUAACCCGAGGAAACUCGGGCUAAUACUGCAUAAUCUUUACGAAGCAAAGAUGGCUAGCAAUAGCUAUCGCUUUAAGAUGAGCCUACGCCGGAUUAGCUAGUUGGUAGGGUAAUGGCCUACCAAGGCAACGAUCCGUAGCUGGUUUGAGAGAACGACCAGCCACACUGGGACUGAGAUACGGCCCAGACUCCUACGGGAGGCAGCAGUGGGGAAUAUUGGACAAUGGGGGAAACCCUGAUCCAGCGAUGCCGCGUGUGCGAUGAAGGCCUGCGGGUUGUAAAGCACUUUCGUUGGGGAAGAAAUACUCAAAGCUAAUACCUUUGAGAGUUGACGUUACCCAAAGAAGAAGCACCGGCUAACUCUGUGCCAGCAGCCGCCGUAA
This 497-nucleotide ribosomal RNA is filed under the name uncultured bacterium. Its description in RNAcentral is "partial 16S ribosomal RNA". It matches the Rfam family "Bacterial small subunit ribosomal RNA", at positions 30 to 523 of the family's 1533-position model. The record is from RNAcentral.